This 765-nucleotide ribosomal RNA is filed under the name uncultured archaeon. RNAcentral's name for it is "bacterial SSU rRNA". It matches the Rfam family "Archaeal small subunit ribosomal RNA", at positions 112 to 879 of the family's 1478-position model. The record is from RNAcentral.
CCAAACAAGAAGGGAUACCUCGGGAACUGAGGGUAAUUCCACAUAGGAAACAGAACUUGGAAAAGCCUGUUUCUCAAAUCCUUCGGGGCUGUAGGAUGGCUCGGCGGUGGAUUAGGCUGUUGGUGAUGUAAUGGCUCACCAAACCUGAGAUCCAUAGGGGCCUUGAGAGAGGAAGCCCCCAGAGGCACACUGAGAAAAAGGUGCCAGCCCUACGGGGUGCAGCAGUGACGAACACUUCGCAAUGCGCGCAAGCGUGACGAGGGUAUCCCACGUGCUUGUAUUUUAUACAAGCUUUUGUCGUCUGUUAAAAGGACGGCGAAUAAGUGAGUGGGUAAGACUGGUGCCAGCCGCCGCGGUAAUCCCAGCGCCACAAGUGGUUUUCACGAUUAUUGGGUCUAAAGCAUCCGUAGCUGGCUCGUUAAGUUCUCUGUGAAAUCCGGCAGCUUAACUGUCGGGCGUGCAGAGAAUACUAUCGAGCUAGAGAGCGGGAGAAGUAGGCGGUAUGCUCAAGGGAGCGGUAAAAUGUUUUAAUCUUGAGUGGACCACCAACGGCGAAGGCAGCCUACUAGAACGCGUCUGACAGUGAGGGAUGAAAGCUGGGGGAGCAAAAGGGAUUAGAUACCCCUGUAGUCCCAGCCGUAAACGCUGCCCAUUAGAUGCUGCGGCUCUUUUAAGGAAUCGCAGUGUCGUAGCGAAGGUGUUAAAUGGGCCACCUGGGGAGUACGGCCGCAAGACUGAAACUUAAAGGAAUUGGCGGGGGAGCAC